GAUUAUGUAGAUUUUUUUUUUUUUCUCCCCUAUUGCAGUUUCAUAUGCAAAGCAUGCAUCAGCCACAUCCAUGCUAUCUCCUAAAGCAGUCAUUCUGAAACCCAAUCUGGGGACAGUGCAGACUAAAUAAAAUUUCAUUUUGAUUUGGCCUCCCGCUGAGAAUGGGACUGCUUUGUUUCAGCCGACAGAACCAGCAAGCCAGAAAGGUUUUGUUUCAAAAAUAGAGAAGCUGCUUCUGACCCAAUUGAUCAAAAAUGCUGUUCUUCAGGAAAGAGUGCAAAAUGUCUUCUUUUCAAAGCAAAUGGAUUUGAGGAACGGGUCAUUGUGGUGGAGGAAGUAUUUUUAUCUGGGCCUCAGGAAACAGUGGUCUGGCUAGCAACUGCACUGGGACGGAUGAUUACAUGA
This 405-nucleotide long non-coding RNA is filed under the name Calidris pugnax (ruff). Its description in RNAcentral is "lncRNA (ENSCPUG00000007275.1)". The record is from RNAcentral. Lineage: Eukaryota; Metazoa; Chordata; Aves; Charadriiformes; Scolopacidae.